CCUACGGGGGGCUGCAGUGAGGAAUAUUGGUCAAUGGCCGCAGGGCUGAACCAGCCAAGUCGCGUGAGGGAUGACGGUCCUAUGUAUUGUAAACCUCUUUUGUCAGGGAGCAAAGGGCGCCACGUGUGGCGCUUUGCGCGUACCUGAAGAACAAGCAUCGGCUAACUCCGUGCCAGCAGCCGCGGUAAUACGGAGGAUGCGAGCGUUAUCCGGAUUUAUUGGGUUUAAAGGGUGCGCAGGCGGAAUGUCAAGUCAGCGGUAAAAUUUCGGGGCUCAACCCCGUCGUGCCGUUGAAACUGGCGUUCUUGAGUGAGCGAGAAGUAUGCGGAAUGCGUGGUGUAGCGGUGAAAUGCAUAGAUAUCACGCAGAACUCCGAUUGCGAAGGCAGCAUACCGGCGCUCAACUGACGCUCAUGCACGAAAGCGUGGGUAUCGAACAGGAUUAGAUACCCUAGUAGUC
Molecule: ribosomal RNA, 459 nt
Filed under: uncultured bacterium
Lineage: Bacteria
Description: partial 16S ribosomal RNA
Rfam family: Bacterial small subunit ribosomal RNA
Source: RNAcentral